GACGAACGCUGGCGGCGUGCCUAAUACAUGCAAGUCGAACGCAUUUUCUUUCACCGUAGCUUGCUACACCGAAAGAAAAUGAGUGGCGAACGGGUGAGUAACACGUGGGUAACCUGCCCAUCAGCGGGGGAUAACACUUGGAAACAGGUGCUAAUACCGCAUAAUUCCAUUUACUGCAUGGUAGAUGGAUGAAAGGCGCUUUUGCGUCACUGAUGGAUGGACCCGCGGUGCAUUAGAUAGUUGGUGGGGUAACGGCCUACCAAGGCUGCGAUGCAUACCCGACCUGGGGGGGUGUUCGGCCACACUGGAACUGAGCCACGCCCCAGACUCCUACGGAGGGCAGCAGUGGGGAAUCUUCGGCAAUGAACGCAAGUCUGACCGGGCACCCCCGCGUGAGUGAGGAAGGUUUUCGGAUCGUAAACCUCUGUUGUUAAAAAGAAACAAGGAUGGGGGUGAAAAGUCCAUCCCUUAACGGAAUCAAACAAGAAAGCCACGCCUAACUACGU
This 506-nucleotide ribosomal RNA is filed under the name uncultured bacterium. RNAcentral describes it as "partial 16S ribosomal RNA". It matches the Rfam family "Bacterial small subunit ribosomal RNA", at positions 28 to 506 of the family's 1533-position model. The record is from RNAcentral.